RNAcentral lists this transfer RNA (69 nucleotides) under Ixodes scapularis (black-legged tick). It matches the Rfam family "tRNA". Rfam says of the family: Transfer RNA (tRNA) molecules are approximately 80 nucleotides in length. Their secondary structure includes four short double-helical elements and three loops (D, anti-codon, and T loops). Further hydrogen bonds mediate the characteristic L-shaped molecular structure. tRNAs have two regions of fundamental functional importance: the anti-codon, which is responsible for specific mRNA codon recognition, and the 3' end, to which the tRNAs corresponding amino acid is attached (by aminoacyl-tRNA synthetases). tRNAs cope with the degeneracy of the genetic code in two manners: having more than one tRNA (with a specific anti-codon) for a particular amino acid; and 'wobble' base-pairing, i.e. permitting non-standard base-pairing at the 3rd anti-codon position. Lineage: Eukaryota; Metazoa; Arthropoda; Arachnida; Ixodida; Ixodidae. The record is from Rfam by way of RNAcentral.
CCCUGCUUAGCACAGUAGAGCGCUCCGCUUGAAAUGGAGAGGUCCCGGGUUUGAUUCCCGGGCCAGGCG